GUUGGCAGCUUUAGCUUGUGAGCUCACCAAGCUUUGUGAGGAUUUGUCAUGGCUUCAAGGGGUUGGCUCAGUACAUGAGUAGAGUCUGGAGUUUGGGGCCUGUGCCUGCCGGUGCCGUUUGAUGCUGAAAGAGAUACCACAUCUGCAAUGUGAGUCCCUCCUCUUCUCUGCCAAGGCAUGUCCUCACUAGGGCUGUUCCCUCUGAUGCAGAAAAGACAUACCGCAUACCUCAAGAUGCCUUUAUGGGCCAUUGGCCCCUGGCCUGUCUUCUCUGGGAAUAUUGUGUCUGGAUGGGUGUCAUUGACCUAGCCCUGGUUUGUGAGUGCUAGAAAGGAGGAAGGGAAGAUGAGGAGAAGGAGAAUGGAGAACACACACCUAAGAGUUUUUCCUUCAAAUUGGAAUAAGCUCCAGGGGCCCACCCACUGCUAUCAUUAUGAUGUCACAGAAAGGAACAGCCAGAGCAGGGGGAAGAAAUUCAUGAAGUCAUCUGGCCCAAAGCCCUCUUCGAUCUUCCAUACCACCAGGAUGGCAGAGGUUGGUGCAUGUUUCUGACAACUGAGCUCUUGAAUACCCGAGACCACACAGCAGCAACGCUGGGGGACGAACUCACUGAGCUGGUGCCCAGCUGCUCAUCUGGGAAGUUCUACCGGGUUCUCACUUGUAAUCAGCAAACCCAGACUCCUCACCUUAGAGACUAUCAGACCAAGCUUCUCUUGGGAUCCUUGAAGAUGGCUGGACGUUGCAAGCGACGCUAUACGGAGAAAUCGCAUCCCAGAGUGACAACGGAGGUUUCCCUGGGAUGUGUUUUGUGCUGUUUGAGCAGGAGUGAAAGCAUGUGACUUUUUAAAGGGAAACCUCAGGAAGGGAGAGUGGAAGUGGAGACAUUGCCAUAAUGCUCAGAAGGCACCCUCAGCGGAUUUGGAGAGUCUUCCUGAAGCCUCUGCUGGGAGGGGAGAGGGAGAAGCCACCGUGGGCUUGUGUGACUUUGGACACCGUGUUCGAAGGGAAGCCGUGUGACCCUUUCCCACUCACUCCAGCCCAGCCUCACGGCAUCCAGCAGCCACCACUCGCCUCCUGAUUGCCGUACCUUUCUGCAGCCUGGAGAUUUGCAUUGUAAAUGCUGUUUGUUAGGCCUCUGAAAUAAUAUUAAUCACCGUAAAACAAUUACGUUGCAUAAUUUGUACAUAAAAAAGAAAGAGUGAACCUUUUGCUUGAAUUAAUAUUUCCUUGUUUGUAUCUUUCUCAUCCUCACAAAUAAUGAGACCCUUGUCUGCCCUUCUAGGUGAGAAUGGCUUUGGGAAAAGAAAGGUAUCUAUCUUCGAAUGGCUUCUUGAAAUGAUGCACAGUUGUCCGCAGUCUGGUAGCCUAUGCAGUUUGGGGUGGAAGAACCACGGACCCUGGGGAAAGGGACAUCUCGACACCCUGUUGCAAGAGGGAAGAGACCCUGGAAGUGAAGAGGAGAAGGCCCUGGGAAGAUAGAAACACACGAUGCAGCCACAGCCCAGGGAUGCCUGGAGUCACAGGAGCUCAAACAGGCAAGGAAGGAUUCUCCCCUCCAGCCUUUGGAGAGGGCGUGGCCCUGCCCAGGCUUGAUUUCGGAUCUCUGGA
This is a long non-coding RNA of Acinonyx jubatus (cheetah), 1608 nucleotides long. RefSeq lists it as uncharacterized. The record is from RefSeq and is a predicted model, not a curated record. The transcript has 4 exons. NCBI's taxonomy places the organism in Eukaryota, Metazoa, Chordata, Mammalia, Carnivora, Felidae.